AGGAGCAACAGCCCCAGUGGCGGGGCCUGCUCUGGAAACCUGGAUUCAGCCCCCGCAGGAACUCCGGAGCUCUCCGUCUGCAGGGCCUGGAGGCUCUGGGGCGGG
This 105-nucleotide microRNA precursor is filed under the name Canis lupus familiaris (dog). RNAcentral describes it as "mir-8834 microRNA precursor family". It matches the Rfam family "mir-8834 microRNA precursor family". The record is from Rfam by way of RNAcentral. Lineage: Eukaryota; Metazoa; Chordata; Mammalia; Carnivora; Canidae.